This 253-nucleotide ribosomal RNA is filed under the name uncultured bacterium. Its description in RNAcentral is "partial 16S ribosomal RNA". It matches the Rfam family "Bacterial small subunit ribosomal RNA", at positions 524 to 776 of the family's 1533-position model. The record is from RNAcentral.
UACGUAGGGGGCAAGCGUUGUCCGGAUUCAUUGGGCGUAAAGAGCGUGUAGGCGGCCAGGUAGGUCGGUUGUGAAAACUGGAGGCUCAACCUUCAGAGGUCGACCGAAACCAUCUGGCUAGAGUCCGGGAGAGGAGAGUGGAAUUCCUGGUGUAGCGGUGAGAUGCGCAGAUAUCAGGAAGAGCACCCGUGGCGAAAGCGGCUCUCUGGAACGGUACUGACGCUGAGACGCGAAAGCGUGGGGAGCGAACAGG